AAGAGUAGGGCGGGACACGUGGUAUCCUGUCUGAAUAUGGGGGGACCAUCCUCCAAGGCUAAAUACUCCUGACUGACCGAUAGUGAACCAGUACCGUGAGGGAAAGGCGAAAAGAACCCCGGCGAGGGGAGUGAAAAAGAACCUGAAACCGUGUACGUACAAGCAGUGGGAGCACCUUCGGGUGUGACUGCGUACCUUUUGUAUAAUGGGUCAGCGACUUAUAUUCUGUAGCAAGGUUAACCGUAUAGGGGAGCCGCAGGGAAACCGAGUCUUAACUGGGCGUUAAGUUGCAGGGUAUAGACCCGAAACCCGGUGAUCUAGCCAUGGGCAGGUUGAAGGUUGGGUAACACUAACUGGAGGACCGAACCGACUAAUGUUGAAAAAUUAGCGGAUGACUUGUGGCUGGGGGUGAAAGGCCAAUCAAACCGGGAGAUAGCUGGUUCUCCCCGAAAGCUAUUUAGGUAGCGCCUCGUGAAUUCAUCUUCGGGGGUAGAGCACUGUUUCGGCUAGGGGGUCAUCCCGACUUACCAACCCGAUGCAAACUACGAAUACCGAAGAAUGUUAUCACGGGAGACACACGGCGGGUGCUAACGUCCGUCGUGAAGAGGGAAACAACCCAGACCGCCAGCUAAGGUCCCAAAGUCAUGGUUAAGUGGGAAACGAUGUGGGAAGGCACAGACAGCCAGGAUGUUGGCUUAGAAGCAGCCAUCAUUUAAAGAAAGCGUAAUAGCUCACUGGUCGAGUCGGCCUGCGCGGAAGAUGUAACGGGGCUAAACCAUGCACCGAAGCUGCGGCAGCGACACUAUGUGUUGUUGGGUAGGGGAGCGUUCUGUAAGCCUGCGAAGGUGACCUGUGAGGGUUGCUGGAGGUAUCAGAAGUGCGAAUGCUGACAUAAGUAACGAUAAAGCGGGUGAAAAGCCCGCUCGCCGGAAGACCAAGGGUUCCUGUCCAACGUUAAUCGGGGCAGGGUGAGUCGACCCCUAAGGCGAGGCCGAAAGGCGUAGUCGAUGGGAAACAGGUUAAUAUUCCUGUACUUGGUGUUACUGCGAAGGGGGGACGGAGAAGGCUAUGUUAGCCGGGCGACGGUUGUCCCGGUUUAAGCAUGUAGGCUGGUUGUCCAGGCAAAUCCGGAUAAUCAAGGCUGAGGUGUGAUGACGAGGCACUACGGUGCUGAAGUAACAAAUGCCCUGCUUCCAGGAAAAGCCUCUAAGCAUCAGGUAACAUCAAAUCGUACCCCAAACCGACACAGGUGGUCAGGUAGAGAAUACCAAGGCGCUUGAGAGAACUCGGGUGAAGGAACUAGGCAAAAUGGUGCCGUAACUUCGGGAGAAGGCACGCUGGUGUGUAGGUGAAGCCCCUGCGGGUGGAGCUGAGACCAGUCGAAGAUACCAGCUGGCUGCAACUGUUUAUUAAAAACACAGCACUGUGCAAACACGAAAGUGGACGUAUACGGUGUGACGCCUGCCCGGUGCCGGAAGGUUAAUUGAUGGGGUUAUCCGUAAGGAGAAGCUCUUGAUCGAAGCCCCGGUAAACGGCGGCCGUAACUAUAACGGUCCUAAGGUAGCGAAAUUCCUUGUCGGGUAAGUUCCGACCUGCACGAAUGGCGUAAUGAUGGCCAGGCUGUCUCCACCCGAGACUCAGUGAAAUUGAACUCGCUGUGAAGAUGCAGUGUACCCGCGGCAAGACGGAAAGACCCCGUGAACCUUUACUAUAGCUUGACACUGAACAUUGAGCCUUGAUGUGUAGGAUAGGUGGGAGGCUUUGAAGCGUGGACGCCAGUCUGCGUGGAGCCAACCUUGAAAUACCACCCUUUAAUGUUUGAUGUUCUAACGUUGGCCCCUGACCGGGGUUGCGGACAGUGUCUGGUGGGUAGUUUGACUGGGGCGGUCUCCUCCCAAAGCGUAACGGAGGAGCACGAAGGUUAGCUAAUCCUGGUCGGACAUCAGGAGGUUAGUGCAAUGGCAUAAGCUAGCUUGACUGCGAGCGUGACGGCGCGAGCAGGUGCGAAAGCAGGUCAUAGUGAUCCGGUGGUUCUGAAUGGAAGGGCCAUCGCUCAACGGAUAAAAGGUACUCCGGGGAUAACAGGCUGAUACCGCCCAAGAGUUCAUAUCGACGGCGGUGUUUGGCACCUCGAUGUCGGCUCAUCACAUCCUGGGGCUGAAGUAGGUCCCAAGGGUAUGGCUGUUCGCCAUUUAAAGUGGUACGCGAGCUGGGUUUAGAACGUCGUGAGACAGUUCGGUCCCUAUCUGCCGUGGGCGCUGGAGAAUUGAGGGGGGCUGCUCCUAGUACGAGAGGACCGGAGUGGACGCAUCACUGGUGUUCGGGUUGUCAUGCCAAUGGCACUGCCCGGUAGCUAAAUGCGGAAGAGAUAAGUGCUGAAAGCAUCUAAGCACGAAACUUGCCCCGAGAUGAGUUCUCCCUGAGACUUUAAGUCUCCUGAAGGAACGUU
Molecule: ribosomal RNA, 2449 nt
Filed under: Klebsiella pneumoniae
Lineage: Bacteria; Pseudomonadati; Pseudomonadota; Gammaproteobacteria; Enterobacterales; Enterobacteriaceae
Description: bacterial LSU rRNA
Rfam family: Bacterial large subunit ribosomal RNA
Source: RNAcentral